CAAGGCCACCCAUAUGGUCCAGAAAACCGACACAUGCGGGUUGCCCGCGAGGCGGCCAUGGCGACCUGCGGCGACAACCAACCCGACCUCUCUCUCUCUGCUUCUACGCGACAAUGAUGGCACUACGGGUUGGUGAAGGUUGGGCUUUAUACCCUGUAGCAAUCGAAGUCCAUGCGGGAGGAAGACACGACCGACGAUCACGGCGCAGUGGUUAUGUUGUUGAAGCAGCGCCGGAGGUGGAAUUUGUUGCACUCCCUCCGGUGUUCAGUUUCAGGAGGAAGAUGACCUGACAGUAUGGGGCCCGUGUGGCGAUGUCCAGGCACGCGCGCAGACUCCGGUUGAGACCGCCGACUUGUGGGCCCCACGGCACGGUGAGCACGGCUGAGCGCGCGCCAGAGGCGCAGGGCCGGUGCUGAGGGUGAGUUGGGCUAGAGUGUUGAGGGUUCGGCCCAGCUGGUAUUUUUAUCCUUUUUUGAAUUCUAUUUCCCUUCCUUUAUUCAAAUUUGGGUUCAAAACCAGUUUUGAGUUUUCCCAUUCAUAUUUAAAUGCACAAGUAAUAAAACCUCCAGCAUGUAUGCAAAAUAUAGUUUAUAUAUGUAUAUCAAUUUGUUUUAUCUAAAUAUCUUAAAUAUGCAUUACACCCCAUAUUCAUUUUUCAGAAAAUAUUAUUUGGGAUAUAUAGUCAAAUUAAAAGUUUAGUCAAAAAUAUUUGUUUCAAUAAAAUACUUUCUAAUGCAUAAUCUCUAUCAUGUGAUACUUUUACUUCAAUCCUUUUUUAGAAGGCUUUCUACCAUUUAGUCUAUAAAAGUGGUUCAAUAAUCGAGGCUCAUUUCUCUUGUAUUCUUUGGAAUUUCAUACCAUGUUUGAGACCUAGAUCCAUGUUCUAAACUAUUAAUACUUUUAAUAAUACCAUUUCUUUUAGGGAGCAUGAUAUCUUCAAA
This 941-nucleotide long non-coding RNA is filed under the name Zea mays. RNAcentral's name for it is "long non-coding RNA (ZMAY_LNC001363)". Lineage: Eukaryota; Viridiplantae; Streptophyta; Magnoliopsida; Poales; Poaceae. The record is from RNAcentral.